AUGGUCAUAUCAUGUUAAAACACCAGUUCCUGUAUGAGCACCAAAGUUAAGCAACAUUGAGCAUGGUCAGUACCAGGAUGGGUGACUGCUUGGGAAUAUCUGGUGCUGUAAG
Acanthosepion pharaonis is the source of this 112-nucleotide non-coding RNA. NCBI's taxonomy places the organism in Eukaryota, Metazoa, Mollusca, Cephalopoda, Sepiida, Sepiidae. The record is from the annotation of a GenBank genome assembly.